Molecule: ribosomal RNA, 484 nt
Filed under: uncultured bacterium
Lineage: Bacteria
Description: partial 16S ribosomal RNA
Rfam family: Bacterial small subunit ribosomal RNA
Source: RNAcentral
AUUGAACGCUGGCGGCAGGCCUAACACAUGCAAGUCGAGCGGAUGAAGGGAGCUUGCUCCUGGAUUCAGCGGCGGACGGGUGAGUAAUGCCUAGGAAUCUGCCUGGUAGUGGGGGAUAACGUCCGGAAACGGGCGCUAAUACCGCAUACGUCCUGAGGGAGAAAGUGGGGGAUCUUCGGACCUCACGCUAUCAGAUGAGCCUAGGUCGGAUUAGCUAGUUGGUGGGGUAAAGGCCUACCAAGGCGACGAUCCGUAACUGGUCUGAGAGGAUGAUCAGUCACACUGGAACUGAGACACGGUCCAGACUCCUACGGGAGGCAGCAGUGGGGAACAUUGGACAAUGGGCGAGAGCCUGAUCCAGCCAUGCCGCGUGUGUGAAGAAGGUCUUCGGAUUGUAAAGCACUUUAAGUUGGGAGGAAGGGCAGUAAGUUAAUACCUUGCUGUUUUGACGUUACCAACAGAAUAAGCACCGGCUAACUUCGUG